Molecule: transfer RNA, 67 nt
Filed under: Marmota monax (woodchuck)
Lineage: Eukaryota; Metazoa; Chordata; Mammalia; Rodentia; Sciuridae
Description: tRNA.Val
Source: RNAcentral
GGUUAUGACUCAGUGGUAGAGCUCCUGCCUCACAAGUUCGAGGCCCUGGGUUCGAUCCUCAGCACCA